UGUGGCUCUUAUUGAAGCUGCAGUUGCUUCCACAUAGCUGCUGUAGUCAAAACAGAGCCCAGAGUGAGUUUUUCCUUGAUGGUCGCCAUUUGACUUGCUGUAAUCGAUCCACAACAUUUCAGGAAAAGAUAGUC
Molecule: small nucleolar RNA, 134 nt
Organism: Echinops telfairi (small Madagascar hedgehog)
Lineage: Eukaryota; Metazoa; Chordata; Mammalia; Afrosoricida; Tenrecidae
Source: RefSeq, a predicted model, not a curated record